GACGAACGCUGGCGGCGUGCUUAACACACGCAAAUCGAACGGUAAGGCCCUUCGGGGUACACGAGUGGCGAACGGGUGAGUAACACGUGGGUGAUCUGCCCUGCACUUCGGGAUAAGCCUGGGAAACUGGGUCUAAUACCGGAUAGGACCACUGCCUGCAUGGGUGGUGGUGGAAAGCUUUUGCGGUGUGGGAUGGGCCCGCGGCCUAUCAGCUUGUUGGUGGGGUGAUGGCCUACCAAGGCGACGACGGGUAGCCGGCCUGAGAGGGUGACCGGCCACACUGGGACUGAGAUACGGCCCAGACUCCUACGGGAGGCAGCAGUGGGGAAUAUUGCACAAUGGGCGCAAGCCUGAUGCAGCGACGCCGCGUGAGGGAUGACGGCCUCCGGGUUGUAAACCUCUUUCAGCACCGACGAAGCGCAAGUGACGGUAGGUGCAGAAGAAGGACCGGCCAACUACGUGCCAGCAGCCGCCGUAA
This 478-nucleotide ribosomal RNA is filed under the name uncultured bacterium. Its description in RNAcentral is "partial 16S ribosomal RNA". It matches the Rfam family "Bacterial small subunit ribosomal RNA", at positions 28 to 523 of the family's 1533-position model. The record is from RNAcentral.